UGGGGAAUAUUGGACAAUGGGCGAAAGCCUGAUCCAGCCAUGCCGCGUGUGUGAAGAUGGUCUUCGGAUUGUAAAGCACUUUACGUUGGGAGGAAGGGCAGUAAGCGAAUACCUUGCUGUUUUUACGUUACCGACAGAAUAAGCACCGGCUAACUCUGUGCCAGCAGCCGCGGUAAUACAGAGGGUGCAAGCGUUUAUCGGAAUUACUGGGCGUAAAGCGCGCGUAGGUGGGUCGUUAAGUUGAAUGUGAAAGCCCCGGGCUCAACCUGGGAACUGCAUCCAAAACGGGCGAGCUAGAGUAGGGCAGAGGGUAGUGGAAUGUCCUGUGUUGCGGUGAAAUGCGUAGAUAUAGGAAGGAACACCAGUGGCGAAGGCGACCACCUGGGCUCAUACUGACACUGAGGUGCGAAAGCGUGGGGAGCAAACAGG
RNAcentral lists this ribosomal RNA (429 nucleotides) under Pseudomonadota bacterium. RNAcentral describes it as "Proteobacteria bacterium partial 16S ribosomal RNA". It matches the Rfam family "Bacterial small subunit ribosomal RNA", at positions 355 to 776 of the family's 1533-position model. Lineage: Bacteria; Pseudomonadati; Pseudomonadota. The record is from RNAcentral.